AGUGAACGCUGGCGGUAGGCCUAACACAUGCAAGUCGAACGGCAGCACAGUAAGAGCUUGCUCUUACGGGUGGCGAGUGGCGGACGGGAGAGGAAUACAUCGGAAUCUACUUUUUCGUGGGGGAUAACGUAGGGAAACUUACGCUAAUACCGCAUACGACCUACGGGUGAAAGCAGGGGAUCUUCGGACCUUGCGCGAUUGAAUGAGCCGAUGUCGGAUUAGCUAGUUGGCGGGGUAAAGGCCCACCAAGGCGACGAUCCGUAGCUGGUCUGAGAGGAUGAUCAGCCACACUGGAACUGGGACACGGUCCAGGCUCCUGCGGGAGGCAGCAGUGGGGAAUAUUGGACAAUGGGCGCAAGCCUGAUCCAGCCAUACCGCGUGGGUGAAGAAGGCCUUCGGGUUGUAAAGCCCUUUUGUUGGGAAAGAAAAGCAGCAGGUUAAUACCCCGCUGUUCUGACGGUACCCAAAGAAUAAGCACCGGCUAACUUCGUG
Molecule: ribosomal RNA, 492 nt
Filed under: uncultured bacterium
Lineage: Bacteria
Description: partial 16S ribosomal RNA
Rfam family: Bacterial small subunit ribosomal RNA
Source: RNAcentral